UAGGUUCGCCCACAGCGAUUAAAAGGGAAUCGGGUGAAAGUCCCGAACAGUCCCGCUGCUGUAAGUAACCUUUAUGGCCGCAAACACUGCGCCACUGAACCCCACAAAGGGCUAUUCGGGAAGGCGUUUGCUGCCCGGUUACAAAGUCAGAAGACCUGCCAUUGCCGGU
This 169-nucleotide non-coding RNA is filed under the name uncultured Prevotella sp. Lineage: Bacteria; Pseudomonadati; Bacteroidota; Bacteroidia; Bacteroidales; Prevotellaceae. The record is from RNAcentral.